UACGGAAGGCAGCAGUGGGGAAUAUUGCACAAUGGGCGAAAGCCUGAUGCAGCUAUGCCGCGUGUAUGAAGAAGGCCUUAGGGUUGUAAAGUACUUUCAUCGGGGAGGAAAAACAAAACUAAUAAUUUUAUUUCUUGACGUUACCCGAAAAAGAAGCACCGGCUAACUCCGUGCCAGCAGCCGCGGUAAUACGGAGGGUGCUAGCGUUAAUCAGAAUUACUGGGCGUAAAGAGCACGUAGGUUGGUUUUUUUAAGUCAGAUGUGAAAUCCCUGGGCUUAACCUAGGAACUGCAUUUUGAAACUGAAAUACUAGAGUAUCGUAGAGGGAGGUAGAAUUCUAGGUGUAGCGGUGAAAUGCGUAGAUAUCUGGAGGAAUACCUGUGGCGAAAGCGGCCUCCUAAACGAAUACUGACACUGAGGUGCGAAAGCGUGGGGAGCAAACGAGGGAUUAGAUACC
This 457-nucleotide ribosomal RNA is filed under the name uncultured bacterium. RNAcentral's name for it is "bacterial SSU rRNA". It matches the Rfam family "Bacterial small subunit ribosomal RNA", at positions 340 to 786 of the family's 1533-position model. The record is from RNAcentral.